GAUGAAGAACGUAGCGAAAUGCGAUAAGUAAUGUGAAUUGCAGAAUUCAGUGAAUCAUCGAAUCUUUGAACGCACAUUGCGCCCAUUAGUAUUCUAGUGGGCAUGCCUGUUCGAGCGUCAUUAAUUCCACUUAAGCACUGCUUAGUGUUGGGAAUCUACUCUAGUGGUGCUACCCUGGAGCUACCCCUGAAAGGGGGCUGGCCCGGUAGCUACCCUGUAGUUCCUCAAAGAUAGUGCGCGGAGUUGCGUGGUCCUCUGAGCUUAGUAACUAUACACCUAGCUUUUGAGUGUCCCGCGGCGCCUGCCGUUUAAACCCCAUCUUUUAAUGGUUGACCUCGGAUCAGGUAGGAAUACCCGCUGAACUUAAGCAUAUCAAUAAGCGGAGGA
This 387-nucleotide unclassified non-coding RNA is filed under the name soil metagenome. RNAcentral's name for it is "partial contains 5.8S ribosomal RNA, internal transcribed spacer 2, and large subunit ribosomal RNA". The stretch from base 1 to 120 matches the Rfam family "5.8S ribosomal RNA", at positions 35 to 154 of the family's 154-position model. The record is from RNAcentral.